AGUCACCGUCUUCUUCUCUGCCCCUUCAAAUUUGCGCAUUGAUCUCUUCUUUGGAUUUGAUUAAAUUAUGAACGUUCCAUCUCAGACCGUGCGGGUGGCGGGCGGCCCAGAAGUGCCCGCUCAGCUGCGGGGCUGGGGUCGAGCGGGACGGGCGAGGGGACGGUUUCCCCCUUUCACAGCUUGCUGCAGAGGAACCCAGCCACUUGGAAGCCAUGUGUUGAAGAUAAAAGGACCACAAGAUGGAAUACAUCCGGUUUCCUGAUGUAUUUUCCUCCAAAUACAUCAUUUGGAGGAAAGCCAACUCCAAUGCGUAGUGCUCAUUUUGGACUUGAUAAAUAAACUUUCAUUGUCUUUAAGUC
Long non-coding RNA from Homo sapiens (human), 359 nucleotides. NCBI's taxonomy places the organism in Eukaryota, Metazoa, Chordata, Mammalia, Primates, Hominidae. The record is from Ensembl.